AGAGUUUGAUUAUGGCUCAGGAUGAACGCUAGCUACAGGCUUAACACAUGCAAGUCGAGGGGCAGCGGGAAGUUAGCUUGCUAACUUGCCGGCGACCGGCGCACGGGUGAGUAACGCGUAUCCAACCUUCCCCUUAGUAGGGCAUAGCCCGGCGAAAGUCGGAUUAAUACCCUAUGUUUUUCCAAUGAGGACAUCUGAGCUGGAAUAAAGAUUCAUCGCUAAGGGAUGGGGAUGCGUCCGAUUAGCUUGCCGGCGGGGUAACGGCCCACCGGGGCGACGAUCGGUAGGGGUUCUGAGAGGAAGGUCCCCCACACUGGUACUGAGACACGGACCAGACUCCUACGGGAGGCAGCAGUGAGGAAUAUUGGUCAAUGGGCGCGAGCCUGAGCCAGCCAAGUAGCCGUGCAGGAUGACGGCCCUAUGGGUUGUAAACUGCUUUUAUAGGGGAAUAAAGUUUCCUACGUGUAGGAUUUUGUAUGUACCCUGUGAAUAAGGACCGGCUAAUUCCGUGCCAGCAGCCGC
Molecule: ribosomal RNA, 522 nt
Filed under: uncultured bacterium
Lineage: Bacteria
Description: bacterial SSU rRNA
Rfam family: Bacterial small subunit ribosomal RNA
Source: RNAcentral